UUACGACCAGUAAGAGAAUUUGAAGCAAAUUCUACAAUUCAGAUCACACUUUCAUAAGUUCCAGCGAGUGGUCUAGAAGAUUCAACAUGAAACUAUUGUUUUACAGUGCAGUAGCAGCUGUAUUUAUCGUUAUAACAGCUGGUGUUGACUCGCAGACACCCGUGUAUGAAUCUACAGGCAUUUAUCAUGCUAGAAGCCAGCCAACCUUCUUUCCUCGUAGCGAUGGUUACGGUUAUGGUUAUGACUAUGGAAAUGUAGGAUAUGAUUUCCGUGGAUACUAUGGCAACGUGCCAAACGUACGCAACGAAUACUCGGACGUUUAUCCAUACGAUAUUCGUGAAGUUAAUUACAUGUAUAAUCAAGGAUAUGGUUCUCAAUAUGGAUACUACUAGCUUGGAGUUGUGGCAGAAUAGAAGAACGUUGGCAGGAAGAUAACAACAGCAACGCGUAGUAGACCCAGAUCAAGUGUGAUGAAUUAUUGUCUAUGGCCAAUAAACGUUCAAAUUUCUUGUGCUUGAAUAAAAUCAUAGCCAAGCUUU
Long non-coding RNA from Limulus polyphemus (Atlantic horseshoe crab), 539 nucleotides. RefSeq lists it as uncharacterized. NCBI's taxonomy places the organism in Eukaryota, Metazoa, Arthropoda, Merostomata, Xiphosura, Limulidae. The record is from RefSeq and is a predicted model, not a curated record. The transcript is spliced from 3 exons.